GGAAGAGUGCCCAGGUCUUAACCUCUACCUUAUUCUCAACCAGGGCCCGUGUACCCCUAUUCCGGCCUGCUUCUGGUGCUGGGCCUCCGAGACCCAGAAAUGACUGAUGAGUAAAAUGGGGACAGUGUGAUGACAGUACUUCAUAGAGUUUUAUGUGAGGGCGAAGUGAGAUCCUACAUGUCUGGCACAAAGCUGACGUUUGGUCUCAGCCUGAUCCAGUUGAGGGAAGCCACUGACCUACAGCACAAAGGAAGUGUCCUAACCCAGGCCAGAGGUGUGCUGUCAUGAAAGAUACCGUGG
Herpailurus yagouaroundi (jaguarundi) is the source of this 300-nucleotide long non-coding RNA. RefSeq lists it as uncharacterized. The transcript is spliced from 3 exons. The record is from RefSeq and is a predicted model, not a curated record. Lineage: Eukaryota; Metazoa; Chordata; Mammalia; Carnivora; Felidae.